Molecule: ribosomal RNA, 429 nt
Filed under: Chloroflexota bacterium
Lineage: Bacteria; Bacillati; Chloroflexota
Description: Chloroflexi bacterium partial 16S ribosomal RNA
Rfam family: Bacterial small subunit ribosomal RNA
Source: RNAcentral
UGGGGAAUAUUGCACAAUGGGCGCAAGCCUGAUGCAGCCAUGCCGCGUGUAUGAAGAAGGCCUUCGGGUUGUAAAGUACUUUCAGCGGGGAGGAAGGGAGUAAAGUUAAUACCUUUGCUCAUUGACGUUACCCGCAGAAGAAGCACCGGCUAACUCCGUGCCAGCAGCCGCGGUAAUACGGAGGGUGCAAGCGUUGUCCGGAUUUAUUGGGCGUAAAGCGAGCGCAGGCGGUUUCUUAAGUCUGAUGUGAAAGCCCCCGGCUCAACCGGAGAGGGUCAUUUGAAACUGGGAGACUUGAGUGCAGAAGAGGAAAGUGGAAUUCCAUGUGUAGCGGUAAAAUGCGUAAAUAUAUGGAGGAACACCAGUGGCGAAGGCGGCUCUCUGGUCUGUAACAGACGCUGAGGCUCGAAAGCGUGGGGAGCAAACAGG